This 73-nucleotide transfer RNA is filed under the name Candidatus Woesearchaeota archaeon. RNAcentral's name for it is "tRNA-Gln". It matches the Rfam family "tRNA". Rfam says of the family: Transfer RNA (tRNA) molecules are approximately 80 nucleotides in length. Their secondary structure includes four short double-helical elements and three loops (D, anti-codon, and T loops). The record is from RNAcentral. Lineage: Archaea; Nanobdellati; Candidatus Woesearchaeota.
AGGCCCAUCGUCUAGCGGUCAAGGAUAGGUGGCUUUGGACCACCGGACCCCGGUUCGAAUCCGGGUGGGCCUA